RNAcentral lists this ribosomal RNA (1463 nucleotides) under uncultured Klebsiella sp. RNAcentral's name for it is "bacterial SSU rRNA". It matches the Rfam family "Bacterial small subunit ribosomal RNA". Lineage: Bacteria; Pseudomonadati; Pseudomonadota; Gammaproteobacteria; Enterobacterales; Enterobacteriaceae. The record is from RNAcentral.
AUUGAACGCUGGCGGCAGGCCUAACACAUGCAAGUCGAGCGGUAGCACAGAGAGCUUGCUCUCGGGUGACGAGCGGCGGACGGGUGAGUAAUGUCUGGGAAACUGCCUGAUGGAGGGGGAUAACUACUGGAAACGGUAGCUAAUACCGCAUAAUGUCGCAAGACCAAAGUGGGGGACCUUCGGGCCUCAUGCCAUCAGAUGUGCCCAGAUGGGAUUAGCUAGUAGGUGGGGUAACGGCUCACCUAGGCGACGAUCCCUAGCUGGUCUGAGAGGAUGACCAGCCACACUGGAACUGAGACACGGUCCAGACUCCUACGGGAGGCAGCAGUGGGGAAUAUUGCACAAUGGGCGCAAGCCUGAUGCAGCCAUGCCGCGUGUGUGAAGAAGGCCUUCGGGUUGUAAAGCACUUUCAGCGGGGAGGAAGGCGAUAAGGUUAAUAACCUUGUCGAUUGACGUUACCCGCAGAAGAAGCACCGGCUAACUCCGUGCCAGCAGCCGCGGUAAUACGGAGGGUGCAAGCGUUAAUCGGAAUUACUGGGCGUAAAGCGCACGCAGGCGGUCUGUCAAGUCGGAUGUGAAAUCCCCGGGCUCAACCUGGGAACUGCAUUCGAAACUGGCAGGCUAGAGUCUUGUAGAGGGGGGUAGAAUUCCAGGUGUAGCGGUGAAAUGCGUAGAGAUCUGGAGGAAUACCGGUGGCGAAGGCGGCCCCCUGGACAAAGACUGACGCUCAGGUGCGAAAGCGUGGGGAGCAAACAGGAUUAGAUACCCUGGUAGUCCACGCCGUAAACGAUGUCGAUUUGGAGGUUGUGCCCUUGAGGCGUGGCUUCCGGAGCUAACGCGUUAAAUCGACCGCCUGGGGAGUACGGCCGCAAGGUUAAAACUCAAAUGAAUUGACGGGGGCCCGCACAAGCGGUGGAGCAUGUGGUUUAAUUCGAUGCAACGCGAAGAACCUUACCUGGUCUUGACAUCCACAGAACUUUCCAGAGAUGGAUUGGUGCCUUCGGGAACUGUGAGACAGGUGCUGCAUGGCUGUCGUCAGCUCGUGUUGUGAAAUGUUGGGUUAAGUCCCGCAACGAGCGCAACCCUUAUCCUUUGUUGCCAGCGGUUAGGCCGGGAACUCAAAGGAGACUGCCAGUGAUAAACUGGAGGAAGGUGGGGAUGACGUCAAGUCAUCAUGGCCCUUACGACCAGGGCUACACACGUGCUACAAUGGCAUAUACAAAGAGAAGCGACCUCGCGAGAGCAAGCGGACCUCAUAAAGUAUAUCGUAGUCCGGAUUGGAGUCUGCAACUCGACUCCAUGAAGUCGGAAUCGCUAGUAAUCGUAGAUCAGAAUGCUACGGUGAAUACGUUCCCGGGCCUUGUACACACCGCCCGUCACACCAUGGGAGUGGGUUGCAAAAGAAGUAGGUAGCUUAACCUUCGGGAGGGCGCUUACCACUUUGUGAUUCAUGACUGGGGUGA